This 468-nucleotide ribosomal RNA is filed under the name uncultured bacterium. RNAcentral describes it as "partial 16S ribosomal RNA". It matches the Rfam family "Bacterial small subunit ribosomal RNA", at positions 28 to 507 of the family's 1533-position model. The record is from RNAcentral.
GACGAACGCUGGCGGCGUGCUUAACACAUGCAAGUCGAAUGGAAGGGCCCUGCUUUUGUGGGGUGCUCGAGUGGCGAACGGGUGAGUAACACGUGAGUAACCUGCCCUUGACUUUGGGAUAACUUCAGGAAACUGGGGCUAAUACCGGAUAGGAGCUCCUGCUGCAUGGUGGGGGUUGGAAAGUUUCGGCGGUUGGGGAUGGACUCGCGGCUUAUCAGCUUGUUGGUGGGGUAGUGGCUUACCAAGGCUUUGACGGGUAGCCGGCCUGAGAGGGUGACCGGCCACAUUGGGACUGAGAUACGGCCCAGACUCCUACGGGAGGCAGCAGUGGGGAAUAUUGCACAAUGGGCGGAAGCCUGAUGCAGCAACGCCGCGUGCGGGAUGACGGCCUUCGGGUUGUAAACCGCUUUCGCCUGUGACGAAGCGUGAGUGACGGUAAUGGGUAAAGAAGCACCGGCUAACUACGUG